Molecule: small nucleolar RNA, 194 nt
Organism: Heterocephalus glaber (naked mole-rat)
Lineage: Eukaryota; Metazoa; Chordata; Mammalia; Rodentia; Bathyergidae
Gene: SNORA73
Rfam family: Small nucleolar RNA SNORA73 family
About the family: U17 (SNORA73A and SNORA73B) also known as E1 belongs to the H/ACA class of small nucleolar RNAs (snoRNAs).
Source: Ensembl
CAGAUACCCCAGGAGGUCACUCUCCCAGGGCUCUGUCCUGGUGGUGUAAGGGAGCACAGGGCUCUGCCCCAUGAUAUACAGUCCUUUUGCAUAAUACAGAGGAGAAGCUGGGCCUUGUGUGGGCACCUGCACAUCCCCACUCCUCAGAGUCCUUUGGGGAAUGACUGAAGAGAUAAACCAUGCAGGAAACAAUG